Molecule: long non-coding RNA, 2127 nt
Filed under: Homo sapiens (human)
Lineage: Eukaryota; Metazoa; Chordata; Mammalia; Primates; Hominidae
Description: HSALNT0375622
Source: RNAcentral
ACAGAAGGCUUUACAGAAACAGGAACAGAAGCUGCUCUUUGCAGAAGGGUCCUGGGGGUCAAUAUAGUCACGAUUGCUCAACUCUUCAUUAAGCUACAGGUUUAUAGGUUAUUUGAUAAUAAGUCCAGAAUGCAGCUGCUGUAGGUGAGUGCUGGAGUUCCAGAGGACAAUAUAUCAUAUAUAUAUAGAUAUAUAUAUAUGUAUAUAUCUUUAAAGUUUUUGAAAUUUAAUUUUAAUUUUUUUUUAUCAUUUUCUUUGUGACUAAGCUGCCAUCAUGGUUCCAGUAAUCCAUUUCUUUCUUUUUUUUUCUUUCCUAAUUAUCUUCCCUUGGCUGGUACUCAGAUAGUUUCUACUUUUUGCACUUGUUGGGGUAACUAUUUCUCUGCUUUUUUUUUCGUUGAAAUUGCAUAUCAAUUCACCGGAUUCUGAUUUACUAGAAACUGAUUGUAGAAGGGGAGGGAAGCGAGACAGUUUUUACAGGGAGGUGUUUAAAAGUGGAAAUUUGAGGGCUUUCCUGUCUUUCCUGGUCUGCUUCUCUACAAAGGACAAUGCAAAAUGAGUAUACGUCCCUCAAGGAGAGCUUGCAGGACACGGUCUAGAAAGGAAAAGACUGUACUCAGCUGCAUGUAGCUUCACCCUGUCAUACUUACUUGGGUUGAUAGUCAGCCUGGUUCCUUGGCCAAAUACCAGCUUCUGGGCUCCCUGAAUUACACCACAGCACGAGGCUUUACAGAAACUGCCAGCGAGGGCCCACCUCUCCCCACUGAGGAAGACAUAUGAUCUGCCCUCCUAGCAGUCCAGGGCUGUGGCAGAGAAUGGCCCGAAUUUCACUGGCCAGAGAAGUUUAGGACAGGAUCUCCUUGGGCUGCUCAUUUUCUCUUUCACAAAGCCUCCUUUAGCAGUUGUAGACAUGGUCCAGAUUUUCCAGUUGCCUUGCCAAUCAAAUAUUUAACAUCUUUGUUUUCACCCCACAGAAUUUUAAUUUUUUUUUAAAACAUUUCUUUCAUCUUUUACAGAGCUCUCCCUAAAAACAGCUGGAUUAAAAGAAUCUUUAAAGUCAGAGUCUACUAGGUCUCCCGAGUAAAGUUAAUCUGGCUUCCUCCUUAAAAUUUCCGGUUUGAAUGCGAGGGCCUGCUCAUCUGGGACCUAAUUUGUCGUGCUAAGACAGGAAAGGUGAAAAGGCAAUGCAGAAAAUCCAGGGGAAAUCCUGCACUGUGAGAUCUUCUUGUCCCUCCACACUUACUUGGAUUUAUUUUUGUACUCAUCCCCUUUCCCCAACAGGAGCAUUACCAGCACUUGUCACUAACAGGGAUCCAUCCUCCAAAUCAACUCUAGAGACUCCCACCCACAGGAAUUUUAGUGUGGAAACAGACAUGGUUUCUUCCUCUGCUCAGGGAAAUUUAAUUGAAAAACCAUUUCUAAUUUUGCCAAAUGGAAAGGAUUAGGAGAAAAUCUGUUUGCCUCUGUUCUCCUUCCUCCUCCCCCUUCGUCUUCAACAGUUUUAAACUAUUUAUAGAAACAUCCCUUUAGGGUUAGAGAAAUGUGGCAAAUUUCUAAUCUCUUCAUCCUUUUUCUUGCUAUCUAUUUACCGCAGUCAUGUAUUUACAAUCUAAAUUUACAUUUCAUUUCCAUUUGCAGGAGCUUCUAAUGCACUUCUCUAUUACUUCAAGAACACUGUGUAUAAUAAUAAACUCUACAGAAAUAAACCAAAUCACAAGAAGCUUUCAGGUCUGGAGGCUGACAUUUCUCAAGACAGAUGCAAAAACCCAGGCCCAGAGAGAUGAAGAAACCUGGCUAAGCUCCUUGAAGCUAGAAAUGGCCUACCUGUAGAAUCUGUCUUCACUUCAAAGUCAGUGGAGUGCACAGUUUUAUUGUCGUGUUGAACUGAACAUGUCACUGAAUUUGAAUCUUCAUAUUUACCAAGCUUGACAGCAUUGUACUUCCCACUGGGAGAGAUGACAAUAGCAGGAUCAAACUCUGUUAUCUUCUUGGAUGACACGAGAUUUAUUCUUAUAUCCUUGGGGUAGAAUUCCUUCACCAGACAAGCGACAUUUGUUCCAUUUUUCAUGACAAAAACGGAUGGUUUGGUAUGAGGCUGACUUCCUGCAAAUAUAAUCAACUUAUUAG